This 460-nucleotide ribosomal RNA is filed under the name uncultured bacterium. RNAcentral's name for it is "partial 16S ribosomal RNA". It matches the Rfam family "Bacterial small subunit ribosomal RNA", at positions 338 to 795 of the family's 1533-position model. The record is from RNAcentral.
CCUACGGGUGGCAGCAGUGAGGAAUAUUGGUCAAUGGACGCGAGCCUGAACCAGCCAAGUAGCGUGCAGGAUGACGGCCCUACGGGUUGUAAACUGCUUUUAUAAAGGGAUAAAGUGAGUCACGUGUGGCUUAUUGUAUGUACUUCAUGAAUAAGGAUCGGCUAACUCCGUGCCAGCAGCCGCGGUAAUACGGAAGGUCCGGGCGUUAUCCGGAUUUAUUGGGUUUAAAGGGAGCGUAGAUGGGUUCUUAAGCCAGUUGUGAAAUGUUGCGGCUCAACCGUAACACUGCAGUGGAUACUGGCAGGCUUGAGUACAGUGGAGGUAGGCGGAAUUCGUGGUGUAGCGGUGAAAUGCUUAGAUAUCACGAAGAACUCCGAUUGCGAAGGCAGCUUACCAAACUGCCACUGACAUUGAUGCUCGAAAGUGCGGGUAUCAAACAGGAUUAGAUACCCGAGUAGUC